UUGAUUUCCUCUAUGUUCUAAUCUCAGGCUUUGGCAUUUUGAAACUGGGAUUUUUGUUCACCAUUCUGUAAUUUUUAUAAUUUUGAUGCUUAGUUGCUCUGAGUUUGUUUUUGUCUGUUGUUGUUUUUUUUUUUGUUUGUUUGUUUGUUUUUUGGCAACGUUAAUAAAGGGGCUCGCUUUGUAAAGACAAGUUUUAUUCCCCUUAUAGUUCUAGAAGUAGGGCAAGCAUGAUUUAAAUGCAAGAAAUAUAUAUUCAUUCUUUCUUCUGGUGAACUGCAAGUAAGCAGUGGAAACAUUUAUCCAGGUAUUUACACAAAAUAUUUUUCUGGAGUAGCUGAGCCACCACAAAUCAAACCAAGCAUGGAGAAUCCAACUUGCUCUGUUUUAGGAACAGGACCCCCUCAUACUUAUUAUAUUUUUGUUUUAAUUUUUUUCUUCUUUUUUUCUUUU
RNAcentral lists this long non-coding RNA (450 nucleotides) under Anas platyrhynchos platyrhynchos (common mallard). RNAcentral describes it as "lncRNA (ENSAPLG00000028606.1)". Lineage: Eukaryota; Metazoa; Chordata; Aves; Anseriformes; Anatidae. The record is from RNAcentral.